GUUUGGGCGGCAAAUUGAUUGUGACGUCAUACAUAAUAAACUCCAUUGCUUGGAAGUAGGGCAAAUGUGUUUGCAUUAAUCUUUUGAAGAAGAUGAAUGACAAAUUGAAGGAAAGACAUUGUUUGCAAGUGGACAUAGAGGUGACCCAGUGACACAUGAGGUCGUGACUCCAUCAUACCUUAAGAAUCCGUAACCAAGAACAAGACACAGGACGAUACCAAGGCUGAUGUGCAGAGUGAACUCUGCAAAAUCGAUCCCCUGAACAGAAACAUAUAAUAGUCAUUACCUUUGAACAUGGAGCAAGAAGGACUUAACAAUAGUAGGCGCGUACACAGGGGGUGCACAAGUGGGUCAUUUCUUAUUAAGAAAUCUUCAAAUACUAUGCUUUUCCCGUACGAUACCUAUGACUGCGCACCCCCUCAGCCAAUACUGCGAACGCGUCUGAACUGUGCAGUCUUAUGAUGUUUACAUCAAACGAUGUAAAACACAGUUACUUGAUAAGAUCCGUGGCAGUGGGUGGGGCACUGAGGGCAUGAGCCCCCCCAAAGGGCCACUUGGCUAAUAAAACAGAUCUUACCGCCUUUUUUAUUUGACUGUUGGAGACAAUGAUGGCGUUUGGUGGAUCACCAAUAGCUGAAACAUCAAGAGCAGCAGUCAUGUGCAGUCAAGCUUGCCAAUGCGAACACCCUCACAGCCGCAAUUUAGUAUCUUUAAAAGCGACACUCCGUCAUUUUAGUCAUCAUUUUGGAAUUCUGUUUCGCCUUGGAUUGUCUUUAAAUCCGUGAUAUUGUGUUGCGCAUUAGGUGAGUGUUGACUGAAAAUAUUUGUCAUACCUGAACCAGUUAAAUAAUGUGAUGCCUGUAAGGUGAUUGUGACUGUAUACAGUUGUAACAACGCCCCUUGAAGAUCACAAGCGUCGGAACCAUACCUGUAGCAGUUCCUCCGAUGUUGGAGAAGAUCACCUCAGCUAUCAGCACAUACGUGGGGUCCAAAUUUAAGACCUGACAUAAUCUGAGGAAUUCAAAUCAAAUUAUACAUUUCUUAUAGCAGUUUAUUUAUAGCUUGCCAUUUGAAGAACACA
Long non-coding RNA from Nematostella vectensis (starlet sea anemone), 1081 nucleotides. RefSeq lists it as uncharacterized. The record is from RefSeq and is a predicted model, not a curated record. NCBI's taxonomy places the organism in Eukaryota, Metazoa, Cnidaria, Anthozoa, Actiniaria, Edwardsiidae. The transcript has 2 exons.